This 73-nucleotide transfer RNA is filed under the name Heliconius melpomene (postman butterfly). RNAcentral describes it as "tRNA HMEL014833". The record is from RNAcentral. Lineage: Eukaryota; Metazoa; Arthropoda; Insecta; Lepidoptera; Nymphalidae.
GCCGUCGUGGCCCAGUGGCACAAGGGUGUGACUGUUACUCGACGAUUGUGGGUUCGAUCCCCGCUCGAGGGAA